UACAGAGGGGGCAAGCGUUGUUCGGAAUUACUGGGCGUAAAGGGCGCGUAGGCGGCCGCCUAAGUCAGACGUGAAAUCCCUCGGCUCAACCGGGGAACUGCGUCUGAUACUGGGUGGCUUGAAUCCGGGAGAGGGAUGCGGAAUUCCAGGUGUAGCGGUGAAAUGCGUAGAUAUCUGGAGGAACACCGGUGGCGAAGGCGGCAUCCUGGACCGGCAUUGACGCUGAGGCGCGACAGCGUGGGGAGCAAACAGG
This 253-nucleotide ribosomal RNA is filed under the name uncultured bacterium. Its description in RNAcentral is "partial 16S ribosomal RNA". It matches the Rfam family "Bacterial small subunit ribosomal RNA", at positions 524 to 776 of the family's 1533-position model. The record is from RNAcentral.